UCCCCAUAAAAAUCUUGUUCCCUUUGAGAUCCCAUCAAUAGUAGACCCUUGAAUCGGGAUCGAGAAAGAAGCCCGUGAGCAAUAAGUUUUUGGUGUUUUGAUAGUGACCCAAUCAUACCUUACAAGAGUUUUUUUCCGUCCUCAGGUUUGACUUUCCUAGUUCACGGUAAUAAUCCAUUUCCUUCAUUUUCUCCUCUUUCUCUGGCAAGUCAUCUUCAAUCAGAAAAAAAGAAAAGAAAAAAAAGAGAGAAAUAUUUGCUAAAUGCGCGUAAUGACCUGCCAACCAACAAACAAAUAGAAAAUUCAAUUAUGGGGAUCUCUUCCAAUUCCC
This 331-nucleotide long non-coding RNA is filed under the name Eucalyptus grandis. Its description in RNAcentral is "long non-coding RNA (EGRA_LNC007016)". Lineage: Eukaryota; Viridiplantae; Streptophyta; Magnoliopsida; Myrtales; Myrtaceae. The record is from RNAcentral.